Molecule: RNA transcript, 3202 nt
Organism: Canis lupus familiaris (dog)
Lineage: Eukaryota; Metazoa; Chordata; Mammalia; Carnivora; Canidae
Gene name: translation initiation factor IF-2-like
Exons: 2
Source: RefSeq, a predicted model, not a curated record
CGGGUCGCCGGGAGCCCUUGGGUGCAAACCCGGCCCCGCGGCCGCGCCCUCCCGCAGGACGAGCAGAGGCCUCCCGGGAUGGACCCUGCAAACCCCUGAACCCCCGGGAGAACCAGAAGCAGGCCCUCGUGGCUCUGCAAGCCCCGGGCGGUGCCCGCAUAGACUCAGGACCUGCCGGAGAACCUAGAGGAGCAGAUUUUAUUUAUUCAUUCAUGAGAGACACAGAAAGAGGCAGAGACAUAGGCAGACGAAGAAGCUGGCUCCCCGCGGGGACCCCCGACGCGGGACUCCAGGAGCAUGACCUGAGCCGAAGGCAGACGCUCAACCGCUGAGCCACCCAGGUGUCCCUCCAAUGCCAAUUCAUUUCAUUACACAAUACCAAAAAAUGAUACUUGGUUAUAUCAUCACUGGUUUUAUUGGAAAAGUGUUAAAGGAGUAGGACACUGUCAAGCUCAAAUUUUAUUUUUGGCAGCAAAUAUUGUCAAUUGGUUCCCCUGAAGUGAUGGGAUCACUUUAUUCGUUUUGGAGAUGUCUGCCAAAUACCCAAGUCCCGAUAACAAUAACAGUAGCUUGUUUUUCAGGUGUUCUUUCAAGUAAACUUGGUGUUCCAUGAAAGAAGAGGCUAAUUCAGCUUACAACUCAAACAACUACAUAGGUGUGUUUCCUCAGGGCAACAAUUGUACUUCUGGAAGUACUUUAGUACUUUACAAAAGACUUGCUCGAGUUGAAAUGAAUAGGAGUAAUGGUUUACUCUGCUUUAUCAAGGACAGUGUUAAGUGAACCUGCCUGUCUUUUCUUUCUAAUUUUAAGUGUGUGGUGGUGAAGAGAAUAGUGAUUACUAAUAUGGCUUGAUGCCACUACCUUGAUUCACUGCAGAGGGCCCGAGACCUACUCUUCCAUUGCUUUUACACUGAGUGCAGAUGUGGAAAAAAAAAAAGGCAAAUUACAUUAUUCUGCAGAUAAUCUUGUCCUCCCUGACUCCCUAAAAAAGUCCUCAGGGGUCCUAAGAUUGCACCAUUGCCUUAGUCCAACCAGGAUUUGAGCUGAUUUGAUUGGAUAGUAUAGUCUGUGAAAGGUGGUACAGUUCAUAUUCACCCUUAUUUCAGAGUACAGUUGGGGGUCCUAACUUAAUUCCUGGGCUGUUUAUCAGGAUACCUUCUCUUUGGUGGGCUUUGAGGUCUAAUUUUUGUCCACUACCACCACCCCUAAUCCUAGGUGGCUUGAGCUGGGCUCUCAGCAGCUUCUUUCAAAUUGGCAAAUGCCCUGGUGAUGCAAGCAACACCAAAUGUUAAGCUCUCUUCUCUGAGACCUUGACCCCUGUGCCAGGUUGAUUGCAAAAAAUAGCUUUGAUUCUUCAUCUGUAGUAGAUACAUACAAUGGAAUACUGCUCAGCCAUAACAAAGAAGGAAACCCUAUUGUUUGUGACAACACGGUUGAAAUGGAAGGGCAUUAUGCUGAGUGAAAUAGGCAAGACAGAGAAAGACAAAUACUACGGCAUUUUAAAGAGGGGAGGGGCACCUGGCUGGCUCCGUCGGUACCGCUUGAGACUCUCGAUCCUUAGAAUUGUGAGUUCGAGCCCUGUGUUGGGUAUAGAGAUUACCUAAACAAAUAGGUCAAACUCAUAGUAACAGAGAGUAGAGUAGUGGUUGUCAGGGGCUGGGGGCUGAGAGAAGUGGAGAGAGGUUGAUCAAGCUUUCAGUUAUGAGUAAGUUCUGAGGAGCUAAUGAUUUAUAGCACUGUUACUAUAAUUAAUAAUACUGCAUUGUAUCGCCCUUACCUUUGGGGGAUACAUUCCAAGACACCCCCCCAGGGAAUGCCUGAAACUGCAGAUAGUACUAAAUCCUAUCUGUACUGUUUUUCCUAUACAUAUACACUUAUGAUAACAUUUAAUUUAUAAGUUAGGCACAAUAUGAGAUUAAUAACAGUAAUUAAUAAAAUAAAACAAUCAUAACCUACUAUCAUAAAAAUUAUGUGAAUGUGGUUUCUCUCCCUCUCUCAAAAUACCGUACUGUACUCACAAUUCUUGUGAUGAUGAUGUGAGAUGAUAAAGUGCCUACAUGAUGAGGGGCACCAGGCUGGUGCAGUCGGUGGAGCAUGUGACUCCUGAUCCCAAUCUUGGGAUCAUGAGUUCAAAGCCCACAUUGGGCUUAGAGCUUACUUAAAAGAAAAAAAGUGCCUAUGUGAUGAGAUGAAGUGAGGUGUAUGAUCUAGGCAUUGCGAUAUAGUCUUAGGCCACUAUUGACCAUCUAAAUUUUUUUAAUUUUUAUUUAUUUAUGAUAGUCACAGAGAGAGAGGCAGAGACAUAGUCAGAGGGAGAAGCAGGCUCCAUGCACCGGGAGCCCGAUGUGGGACUCAAUCCCGGGUCUCCAGGAUCACGCCCUGGGCCAAAGGCAGGCGCCAAACCGCUGCGCCACCCAGGGAUCCCACACUAUUGACCAUCUAAAGAUACAUCAGGAAGACCAUCUGCUUCCAGACCAUAGUUGACCACCCCUGGUAAUUGAGACCACAAGUGACUGAAACCAUGGGAAGAAAGACCAUGGCUAAGUACUUGGAAUUUGCUGAGAGUACAUCUUUUUUUUUUUUUAAGCUUUUAUUUAUUUAUUGGAGGGAGAGAGAGCGAGAGAGCGAGAGAGCGUGAGCAUGAGGAGGGGAAGGGGCAGAGGGAGAGGACCCCAGGAUCCUGACUUGAGCUGAAGGCAGAUGCUUAACCGACUGAGCCACACAGGCAGCCCUUGCUGAGAGUGCAUCUUGUGUUCUCACACACACAUACAAAAAGCUAACUCUGUGAGGUAAUGGAUGUGUUAAUUAACUUGAUUGUGGGAAUCAUUUCUAAAUACAUAUGUAUAUCAAAUCAUUACUUUGUACACUUGAAAUAUAUAUAUUUGAAAUAUAUAUAUAUUUGUCAAUUACACUUCAAUGAAUCUGGGAGGAAAUUUUUUUUUUUAAAGAUGAUCUUCCUCUAUCCUAACUGCCUACUAUAAGCAGUUACUUAUAAGCUUCAAAUGAUCUCUACAAUUCUUUAUAGACAAUGGUUGGCAUUCAAAAACAGGAAUUGAAAAAGACAAGAAUUAAGUACCCAUCAGAAAAAAAAAGUACUAAAUAGAAACAUACCUGGAAGAAAGCAACCCAGUUUCUGAUUUCAUUCCAUAUCUAAGGUGAAUCUAUAUGAUAUAUAAAUGUAAAAAUAAAAAAGAGAAACAUA